Molecule: ribosomal RNA, 272 nt
Filed under: uncultured bacterium
Lineage: Bacteria
Description: partial small subunit ribosomal RNA
Rfam family: Bacterial small subunit ribosomal RNA
Source: RNAcentral
AGAAUCAACGCUGGCGGCGUGCCUAACACAUGCAAGUCGAACGCGAAAGCCCCGAAAGGGGUAAGUAGAGUGGCAAACGGGUGAGUAACACGUGGGUGACCUGCCUUCGAGCGGGGGAUAACGUCCCGAAAGGGACGCUAAUACCGCAUAACAUCCUGCCUUUGAAGAGGCGGAGAUCAAAGCUGGGGAUCGCAAGACCCGGCACUUGAAGAGGGGCCCGCGUCUGAUUAGCUAGUUGGUGGGGUAAUGGCCUACCAAGGCAACGAUCAGUA